RNAcentral lists this long non-coding RNA (418 nucleotides) under Salvia miltiorrhiza (redroot sage). RNAcentral describes it as "long non-coding RNA (SMIL_LNC012403)". Lineage: Eukaryota; Viridiplantae; Streptophyta; Magnoliopsida; Lamiales; Lamiaceae. The record is from RNAcentral.
GAGGAGGGCGGCGCAGAUAGAGAGUGAGGACGGCGGAAUCGCGGGUUUCGGAAGAGGGCGGCGCGGAUGGAGGAUGAGGAAGGAGGAAUCCUAGGGUUUCAGAGAGUGAGAGAGGCGGAGAGGCCGAGAGAACUUGAGAGAGAGAGAGGCGGAUAGGCCGAGAGAGUAGGAAUCAUAAAAGGUUUUUUUAUUGUUUCUUAUUUAUAGUGUAAUUAAGGUUAAAUUAAUUAGUGUAUUUUAAAGGCUAAUUCUUUCCUUAUUUGGAAAUGAGUCUUUAUUAUUGGGACACCCCAAUAAGGAAAGUAGGUCUUCAAUAAUGGAACGGAGGGAGUACUAUAUAUAUAUNUUUUUUAUUUUUGUAUAUUUUCUUUGAGUUUUUUUUUUAUAUAUAUAUAUUUGCAGAUCUGUCAGCUUAAUU